AUUGAACGCUGGCGGCAGGCCUAACACAUGCAAGUCGAACGAGGGGCGGACGGGUGAGUUAUGUCUGGGAAACUGCCUGAUGGAGGGGGAUAACUACUGGAAACGGUAGCUAAUCCCGCAUACCAUCGGAUGUGCCCAUAUGGGAGUAGCUAGUAGGUGGGGUAAAGGCUCACCUAGGCGACGAUCCCUAGCUGGUCUGAGAGGAUGACCAGCCACACGGGAACUGAGACACGGCCCAGACUCCUACGGGAGGCAGCAGUGGGGAAUAUUGCACAAUGGGCGCAAGCCUGAUGCAGCCAUGCCGCGUGUAUGAAGAAGGCCUUCGGGUUGUAAAGUACUUUCAGCGGGGAGGCGUUACCCGCAGAAGAAGCACCGGCUAACUCCGUGCCAGCAGCCGCGGUAAUAC
This 406-nucleotide ribosomal RNA is filed under the name uncultured bacterium. RNAcentral describes it as "partial 16S ribosomal RNA". It matches the Rfam family "Bacterial small subunit ribosomal RNA", at positions 30 to 526 of the family's 1533-position model. The record is from RNAcentral.